GUGUUUUAGGAAUGAACUGUUCCCUCGUGCCUAAUAUCAGUCUAAAUCACUGUGUGGGUUGCCUUUUUUGGUUGCAUGCUGCCUCAUUAUAGGAUGGAAAAUGG
This is a small nucleolar RNA of Hibiscus syriacus, 104 nucleotides long. RefSeq annotates it as small nucleolar RNA snoR99. NCBI's taxonomy places the organism in Eukaryota, Viridiplantae, Streptophyta, Magnoliopsida, Malvales, Malvaceae. The transcript has a single exon. The record is from RefSeq and is a predicted model, not a curated record.